AGAGUUUGAUCAUGGCUCAGAAUUAACGCUGGCAGAGUGCAUAACACAUGCAAGUCGAGCGGAAUACGUAGCAAUACGUAUUUAGCGGCAGACGAGUGAGUAACACGUAAACAAUCUACCCCCGAAUGGUGAAUAACCUGCCGAAAGGCAGGCUAAUGCGCCGUACUCUCCCCGGAAGGCAUCUUCUGGGGAGGAUAGACCCGCAAGGGUUGUUCAGGGAGGAGUUUGCGGCCCAUCAGCUAGUUGGCGGUGUAACGGACCACCAAGGCUACGACGGGUACCCGGGCUGAAAGGCCGGACGGGCACGAUGGCACUGAGACACGGGCCAUACUCCUACGGGAGGCAGCAGUGGGGAAUUUUGGACAAUGGGCGAAAGCCUGAUCCAGCAACUCUGCGUGAGGGACGAAGGUCUUCGGAUCGUAAACCUCUUUUGUAUGGGACGAAAUCCCGCAAGGGUCUGACGGUACCAUACGAAUAAGCAACGGCUAACUAUGUGCCAGCAGCCGCGGUAAGACAUAGGUUGCGAGCGUUAUUCGGAAUUACUAGGCGUAAAGCGAGUGUAGGCGGACCCUUAAGUCUGACGUUAAAUCUCCUGGCUUAACUAGGAGCUGUCGUCGGAUACUGAGGGCCUCGAAUGGGGUAGGGGGCAGCGGAAUUCCCGGUGUAGCGGAAAUGCGUAGAUAUCGGGAGGAACACCUAUGGCGAAAGCAGCUGCCUGGGCCUCUAUUGACGCUAAGACUCGAAAGCUGGGGGAGCAAACAGGAUUAGAUACCCUAGUAGUCC
RNAcentral lists this ribosomal RNA (783 nucleotides) under uncultured bacterium. Its description in RNAcentral is "bacterial SSU rRNA". It matches the Rfam family "Bacterial small subunit ribosomal RNA", at positions 8 to 796 of the family's 1533-position model. The record is from RNAcentral.